This 484-nucleotide ribosomal RNA is filed under the name uncultured bacterium. RNAcentral's name for it is "partial 16S ribosomal RNA". It matches the Rfam family "Bacterial small subunit ribosomal RNA", at positions 30 to 507 of the family's 1533-position model. The record is from RNAcentral.
AUUGAACGCUGGCGGCAGGCCUAACACAUGCAAGUCGAGCGGAUGAAGGGAGCUUGCUCCUGGAUUCAGCGGCGGACGGGUGAGUAAUGCCUAGGAAUCUGCCUGGUAGUGGGGGAUAACGUCCGGAAACGGGCGCUAAUACCGCAUACGUCCUGAGGGAGAAAGUGGGGGAUCUUCGGACCUCACGCUAUCAGAUGAGCCUAGGACGGAUUAGCUAGUUGGUGGGGUAAAGGCCUACCAAGGCGACGAUCCGUAACUGGUCUGAGAGGAUGAUCAGUCACACUGGAACUGAGACACGGUCCAGACUCCUACGGGAGGCAGCAGUGGGGAAUAUUGGACAAUGGGCGAAAGCCUGAUCCAGCCAUGCCGCGUGUGUGAAGAAGGUCUUCGGAUUGUAAAGCACUUUAAGUUGGGAGGAAGGGCAGUAAGUUAAUACCUUGCUGUUUUGACGUUACCGACAGAAUAAGCACCGGCUAACUUCGUG